Molecule: long non-coding RNA, 408 nt
Organism: Hypanus sabinus (Atlantic stingray)
Lineage: Eukaryota; Metazoa; Chordata; Chondrichthyes; Myliobatiformes; Dasyatidae
Exons: 2
Source: RefSeq, a predicted model, not a curated record
UAAGUCUGAGCUACGAUAAGCUGGAGGAAAUCGGCCCAUGACCAGCCCCUCCUCUUCCGCUCCGUUGCCAUGGCGGAGAUCAGCGAGUCGCUUCUGUCGGUGUCGCCGGCCUCGGCGCCCACAAGGACGGGUGUGAUUCCCCUUCGCGCCUCGGUGGGUCUGUUUCGGGGACGUCUGUGGUGGCUGACGAAACAUGCUUUGACAGGGAGCGAGCAAGGACCAAUGACUACAACUCCCAGAAGGCCCCACUGAUGACGUUGUGGUGUUGUUUAGGGGCCUUUAAAAAGGUGGCAGACAUGAGGCUGUUUAACACGCUACGAGCCCAUGGUAUUACAGAAAGAGCCCAGCACAGAUAAAGCAGUGGCUGAUUGACAGGAGGCAGAAUGUGUGAAUAAAUGGAGCGUUUUC